RNAcentral lists this ribosomal RNA (495 nucleotides) under uncultured bacterium. RNAcentral describes it as "partial 16S ribosomal RNA". It matches the Rfam family "Bacterial small subunit ribosomal RNA", at positions 28 to 507 of the family's 1533-position model. The record is from RNAcentral.
GACGAACGCUGGCGGCGUGCCUAAUGCAUGCAAGUAGAACGCUGAAGGAGGAGCUUGCUCUUCUGGAUGAGUUGCGAACGGGUGAGUAACGCGUAGGUAACCUGCCUGGUAGCGGGGGAUAACUAUUGGAAACGAUAGCUAAUACCGCAUAACAGUAGAUGUUGCAUGACAUUUGCUUAAAAGGUGCAAUUGCACCACUACCAGAUGGACCUGCGUUGUAUUAGCUAGUUGGUGGGGUAACGGCUCACCAAGGCGACGAUACAUAGCCGACCUGAGAGGGUGAUCGGCCACACUGGGACUGAGACACGGCCCAGACUCCUACGGGAGGCAGCAGUAGGGAAUCUUCGGCAAUGGACGGAAGUCUGACCGAGCAACGCCGCGUGAGUGAAGAAGGUUUUCGGAUCGUAAAGCUCUGUUGUAAGAGAAGAACGAGUGUGAGAGUGGAAAGUUCACACUGUGACGGUAUCUGACCAGAAAGGGACGGCUAACUACGUG